This 301-nucleotide ribosomal RNA is filed under the name uncultured bacterium. RNAcentral describes it as "partial 16S ribosomal RNA". It matches the Rfam family "Bacterial small subunit ribosomal RNA", at positions 509 to 808 of the family's 1533-position model. The record is from RNAcentral.
CAGUCGCCGCGGGAAUACGUAGGGUGCGAGCGUUAAUCGGAAUUACUGGGCGUAAAGCGUGCGCAGGCGGUUAUAUAAGACAGAUGUGAAAUCCCCGGGCUCAACCUGGGACCUGCAUUUGUGACUGUAUAGCUAGAGUACGGUAGAGGGGGGAUGGAAUUCCGAGUGUAGCAGUGAAAUGCGUAGAUAUGCGGAGGAACACCGAUGGCGAAGGCAGCCCCCUGGGCCAACACUGACGCUCAUGCACGAAAGCGUGGGGAGCAAACAGGAUUAGAUACCCCAGUAGUCCCUGUCUCUUAUA